AAAGUCGUAACAAGGUUUCCGUAGGUGAACCUGCGGAAGGAUCAUUACCAAAUCCAAAUUCCAAACCCCAUGUGAAUUAUUGUAUAGUCUGUCUUUGGGAGAGUGAUGGAAACAGAUCUCUCCCAAUAGAGUCCGGCGCAACGUUAUAAUUGUGUCCAGAUUCGAAAAACCCUUUAAACCACUUGAUUUUUCUGUUGGAAUUUUUUCUUUUAAUUUUUAAAUAAAAAGACAACUUUUAACGGUGGAUCUCUUGGCUCGU
RNAcentral lists this unclassified non-coding RNA (259 nucleotides) under Basidiomycota sp. RNAcentral describes it as "partial contains small subunit ribosomal RNA, internal transcribed spacer 1, and 5.8S ribosomal RNA". The stretch from base 1 to 47 matches the Rfam family "Eukaryotic small subunit ribosomal RNA", at positions 1785 to 1831 of the family's 1831-position model. The record is from RNAcentral. Lineage: Eukaryota; Fungi; Basidiomycota.